RNAcentral lists this ribosomal RNA (253 nucleotides) under uncultured microorganism. RNAcentral's name for it is "partial 16S ribosomal RNA". It matches the Rfam family "Bacterial small subunit ribosomal RNA", at positions 524 to 776 of the family's 1533-position model. The record is from RNAcentral.
UACGUAGGUGGCAAGCGUUGUCCGGAAUUAUUGGGCGUAAAGCGCGCGCAGGUGGUUCCUUAAGUCUGAUGUGAAAGCCCCCGGCUCAACCGGGGAGGGUCAUUGGAAACUGGGGAACUUGAGUGCAGAAGAGGAUAGUGGAAUUCCAAGUGUAGCGGUGAAAUGCGUAGAGAUUUGGAGGAACACCAGUAGCGAAGGCGGCCAUCUGGCUGGUAACUGACGCUGAGGUGCGAGAGCGUGGGGAGCAAACAGG